AUUGAACGCUGGCGGCAUGCCUUACACAUGCAAGUCGAACGGUAAUAGGUUUUUGGAUGUUGAUGAGUGGCGAACGGGUGAGUAAUACAUCGGAACGUGCCCGAUCGUGGGGGAUAACGAGGCGAAAGCUUUGCUAAUACCGCAUACGAUCUACGGAUGAAAGCGGGGGAUCUUCGGACCUCGCGCGGACGGAGCGGCCGAUGGCAGAUUAGGUAGUUGGUGGGGUAAAGGCCUACCAAGCCUGCGAUCUGUAGCUGGUCUGAGAGGAUGAUCAGCCACACUGGGACUGAGACACGGCCCAGACUCCUACGGGAGGCAGCAGUGGGGAAUUUUGGACAAUGGGGGGCAACCCUGACUCCAGCCAUGCCGCGUGCAGGAUGAAGGCCUUCGGGUUGUAAACUGUCUUUUGUUACGGAACGAAAGCCUCUUCCUAAUACGCGAGGGUGAGUGACGGUACCGUAAGAAUAAGCACCGGCUAACUACGUGCCAGCAGCCGCGGUAAG
Molecule: ribosomal RNA, 503 nt
Filed under: uncultured bacterium
Lineage: Bacteria
Description: bacterial SSU rRNA
Rfam family: Bacterial small subunit ribosomal RNA
Source: RNAcentral